Malus domestica (apple) is the source of this 971-nucleotide non-coding RNA. Lineage: Eukaryota; Viridiplantae; Streptophyta; Magnoliopsida; Rosales; Rosaceae. The record is from RefSeq and is a predicted model, not a curated record.
UUUAUUUACAAAAGAACCGAGCCAAUGGUCAAUCCGCAUGACCAAGUCCUCCCUCUUCGUCAUCGUCGCAUGUUUAAAUGUUAAUUAAUUUCUUCAGUGAUGAAAGUGAUACGGGAUUAAGCUUACUGGAGCGGACGCCCAACUCCUCCCUCUACGCCGUCGUUUCCUGUUUUCUUCGUCUUCUUUUGACAGUAAACCAGGUUAUCAGAGUCGACUGUUGCUCCAGCGGCUGAGGGAAGGUGGUGAUCGGCUGCGACGACGGCACCGUCGCCUUCCUCCACCGCGGCCUCACUUCGGUUUUGGAUUCCAAGCUCACUCCACCUCCGUGCUCUUCCUUCGGCAGCUCAAGAAUCAGCAACGAAACGGUUUGGUGACAAUUGGAGAAGAUGAACAGAUUACUCCGCAGCAAUCGGCAAUGUGCCUCAAGGUUUUCGACGGCACGAGCUCAAGCACAACGAGCCCUGAUUGCGUUGGAAUCUUGAGGAUAUUCACCAACCAAUUUCCUGAAGCAAAGCCUAUUGGUUAAAUGGAGAGCAAGUUGUUUAAGAAGAACAUUGCAUGAGAAGGGCCCUUGCUUCCAAAGUUCAUACCGCUCUUCCACGGAAUUGCUACACCAAAUUGAAUGAUGUUGGCAGGCUAAAUGUGUUCAUUAAAAGUGAGGGUGGUUUUGGGGGACAUAUAUUUGAUGUGGAGACUGCAAGAGGUCUGACUCUUCUUGUGGAGUUAUCUGUCUCCUGCAGCGGCAACGAAUUGCAAAGUUCUUGAAAUUCCUUCGAAUGUCUUUGAAGGUGGGUGUUGGCAGGAGUGGUGGGAACCGUUGGUUGCUUUGUGUUGUCAAUUGGGAUAGCACGUCUGCAAGAACAAAGAAAGUUGUAAAACAUUGUAGCACGGCUGGUAUUGUACGUACUGUGUAGCAUGAAAACUUGAGCCUGAAAUUUAUCAAUCAACCAUCCAACGUAUAUUACAUACAA